UUUGAUUGUUUUAAGUGCUAUACUUGUUCACACGUCAUAUAUUUUGUCAAUAGAGUUUACAUUUUUGUCUUUUCAGUUUUAAUUGAGGUCAUUUAAUAUGAGAACAAUGUAGCUAGUUUGUCGUCUUCUCUUCCAUUAUAUGAACAUGAUUUUAACAUAAAAUAUGUAAUUCAUACUCAUACUUAUGGGCAUUUAUAAAUAUGUAACAUUUACAUUGUAGGGGGGUAUAACCAUUAGUAAUUAUUUACCAGAAUGAAGCACAAAGAAAAAGAAUAAUGAAACUAGGAGAAAAUGUGGUGGUUUUAGAUGUUACAUAUAAAGGUUUUUCCUGGGCAUGAAAUACCAUUUCCUUGGUGGGUAUGCCAAUACAUGUAGCAGAGUAGAGGACUUAAUAAUCUUACUCCAUGUAAAUGUAACUAUGUUUUAUGACAACCUAGAUGAACUCGCAAAGAUUAGUCGCUUGAAAAAUAUGGGAGGACAAAGGGAAGACAAAAGUAAAUAGACAGCAGAAAAUAUGCUCAAGGCAGAACUUGAACAAAUGGUGCAAUGGACUUCAUCCACAGAAUGCACUGUUCCAUCACAGACAGCAUUUGGGACGAUUUAUAAUGUAGACAUUGUCAAUGAAGUGUGCAACUGUCCAGCUGCAACAACAAGAGGGAUGUGUAAGCAUGUUCAUUUAGCCGAAUUUAUUGCGUCUAAAAGGAACAUCGACCUCACUGUAGGGCGCAGAUCUAGAGGUUUUGUCCAGAUUGGGAAAUGUAUCAGUUGUUUAUUUGACCUCAUUUAAAUGUACAUGUUUUGCCAAUAGCCAUGGUAUACAUUGUAUUUGUGUGAUGGUAGCAAAAAAAUGGUAUUUUCAUCACCUGACAUAGAGUCUACCCCAAUUGAUGAAACAAGACAACAAUUAAAGGAAGACAAAGAAACAACCGAACAGGCUAUUAAAAGAAAAAUUGAGGGAAUAUAUAUGUAAACAAUGAUAACUUCCUGACAAUUGACGUGAAAAAAAGACUUUUUUACAAGCAAUCACAACGGCAUUACAUAUUUGUAAGACAACCAACUUUUCCAAAACAACAAGAAAGCGAAAGCAACAUCCGCUGUUUCCAAGCAGAAAAUCCAAAAGUUCAAAAACUGAGCAUUACUCUUCAGUAAGCCGAAAGUGUGUUGUAAAAAACAGGGGCGAAAAGUUAAUGAUGAUGGCAGUUUCAAAUCGACCCACAGAAAGAAAGAAUCCAUUCGUUAACUAUUUCAAUGACCAAAAUAAUGAAAUAUUAUACUGAUUUAGAAAAACUGCUUUUUCUUGAUAUUCAUUCAAAAAAUGUAUAUGUUACAUUGGUGCAUAAAGGCUUUAAAAGUAGGACAUAUACAGUUUGCUCUUGAUAUGUUUUGCAAAGAUACUGAUGUUACCAAAUGUAUAUAAUUUAAUAUAACUAAUACCUAUUCCUAAUGAAGAUUUUUGUCAAAUAGAUAAAUUGGCUAUAUAUAUACAUUUGACUAGGUCUGUUUGCUGUCUCAAGUAGGUAAUAUGUUUUAAGCAAAUGAUCAAAUAUGUUUGAAGUUAAGAUAAUACGUGUGAUGCGUCUAAUAGAUCAUUACCUGGCAGCAUUGUCUCUAUUGUCUU
Mytilus trossulus (common blue mussel) is the source of this 1618-nucleotide long non-coding RNA. RefSeq lists it as uncharacterized. Lineage: Eukaryota; Metazoa; Mollusca; Bivalvia; Mytilida; Mytilidae. The transcript has 4 exons. The record is from RefSeq and is a predicted model, not a curated record.